AUUGAACGCUGGCGGCAGGCCUAACACAUGCAAGUCGAGCGGAUGAAGGGAGCUUGCUCCUGGAUUCAGCGGCGGACGGGUGAGUAAUGCCUAGGAAUCUGCCUGGUAGUGGGGGAUAACGUCCGGAAACGGGCGCUAAUACCGCAUACGUCCUGAGGGAGAAAGUGGGGGAUCUUCGGACCUCACGCUAUCAGAUGAGCCUAGGUCGGAUUAGCUAGUUGGUGGGGUAAAGGCCUACCAAGGCGACGAUCCGUAACUGGUCUGAGAGGAUGAUCAGUCACACUGGAACUGAGACACGGUCCAGACUCCUACGGGAGGCAGCAGUGGGGAAUAUUGGACAAUGGGCGAAAGCCUGAUCCAGCCAUGCCGCGUGUGUGAAGAAGGUCUUCGGAUUGUAAAGCACUUUAAGUUGGGAGGAAGGGCAGUAAGUUAAUACCUUGCUGUUUUGACGGUACCAACAGAAUAAGCACCGGCUAACUUCG
RNAcentral lists this ribosomal RNA (482 nucleotides) under uncultured bacterium. RNAcentral's name for it is "partial 16S ribosomal RNA". It matches the Rfam family "Bacterial small subunit ribosomal RNA", at positions 30 to 505 of the family's 1533-position model. The record is from RNAcentral.